This 531-nucleotide long non-coding RNA is filed under the name Calidris pugnax (ruff). RNAcentral describes it as "lncRNA (ENSCPUG00000013435.1)". Lineage: Eukaryota; Metazoa; Chordata; Aves; Charadriiformes; Scolopacidae. The record is from RNAcentral.
CUAUAGGUCCUUAUACUUCCCCCACCCUUUUUCCCCCUUAUUUCAGCCCGAUUUCGUGGGCAUCAUCUGCACCCGCCUCUCCCCCAAGAAGCUCAUCGAGAAGUGGGUGGACUUCGCCCGGUGAGGCGCCUAUAGGGGCUAUACGUCCCCCCUAUAGAUCCCCCCCGUGGAGAUAUAGGGGGGAUAUAGGAGAUAUAGGGCCUCCUAUGGGUGGUUUUUUGGUGGGGGAUGGGUAUAAGGGGUGUUUUUUGGGGGGUUCUGUGGGCGUCCCUAUAGGGCUGUGGAGCCUCCUAAAGGGCUAUAGGGGUUCCUAUAGGGUCACAGGGGGUUCCUAUAGGGCUGUAUGGGCCUCCUAAAGGUCUUUAUGGGCUAUAGGGGUUGCUAUAAGGGUUCCUAUAGGGUCACAGGGGCUCUGGGGAGGUUCCUAUAGGGCUGUAUGGGCCUCCUGAGGGUCUUUAUGGGCUAUAGGGGUUGCUAUAAGGGUUUCUAUAGGGUGACAGGAGCUCUGAGAGGGGUCCCUAUGGGUCUAUA